Molecule: RNA transcript, 1020 nt
Organism: Mandrillus leucophaeus (drill)
Lineage: Eukaryota; Metazoa; Chordata; Mammalia; Primates; Cercopithecidae
Gene name: protein GPR108 pseudogene
Exons: 2
Source: RefSeq, a predicted model, not a curated record
UUGAAAUGUUGCUGAGAGCUCAACUGGAAUCUAAAAGUCCUUCACCAAGAGCAUCUCUCUCCUCUUCCAUAGUAUCAACUACUACCUCAUCAACAGCCAGAGCCACCCCAUCGAAGGCCUUGCCUUCACACACCUGCUGAAGGGUGCCCUUCUCUUCAUCACCGUCGCUCUGAUCGGCUCAGGUUGGGCCUUCAUCAAGUAUGUCCUGUCGGAUAAGGAGAAGAAGGUCUUUAGGAUCAUGAUCCCCAUGCAGGUCCUGGCCAACGUGGCCUACAUCGGCAUCGAGUCCCGCGAGGAGGGCGCCAGUGACUAUGUGCUGUGGAAGGAGAUUUUGUUCCUGAUGGAUCUCAUCUGCUGCAGCGCCAUCCUGUUUCCCGUAGUCUGGUCCAUCUGGCAUCUCCAGGACACGUCUGGCACAGACGGGAAGGUGGCCGUGAACCUGGCCAAGCUGAAGCUGUUCCAGCAUUACUAUGUCACAGUCAUCUGCUACAUCUACUUCACCCGCAUCAUCGCCAUCCUGUAGCAGGUGGCUGUCCCCUUUCAGUGGCAGUGGCUGUACCAGCUCUUGGUGGAGGGCUCCACCCUGGCCUUCUUCAUGCUCACGGGCUACAAGUUCCAGCCCACAGGGACAACCCAUCCCUGCAGCUGCCCCAGGAGGACGAGGAGGAUGUUCAGAUGGAACAAGUAAUGACCGACUCUGGGUUCGGGGAAGGCCUCUCCAAAGUCAACAAAACAGCCAGCGGGCGGGAACUAUUAUGAUCACCUCCACAUCUCAAACCAAAGGAUCCUUCUCCCCCAGCAUUUCUCACUCCUGCCCUUCUUCCAAAGUGUAUGUGGGGAGGUGGAGGGGGUCCAUGUGGACCAGGCGCCCAGCUCCCCGGGAACCCGGUUCCCGGACAAGCCCAUUUGGAAGAAGAGUCCCUUCCUCCCCCCAAAUAUUGGGCAGCCCUGUCCUCACUCCAGGACCACCCCUCCCUUCCAGCUAUAUGUACAAUAAUGACCAAUCUGUUUGGCUAAAAA